This 387-nucleotide long non-coding RNA is filed under the name Setaria viridis. Its description in RNAcentral is "long non-coding RNA (SVIR_LNC003937)". The record is from RNAcentral. Lineage: Eukaryota; Viridiplantae; Streptophyta; Magnoliopsida; Poales; Poaceae.
CGGGAUAGAGUUUUGGUUGGUGGGUAUUGCCGAAAUCAAGAACUUGAUGGUGUACGUAGGCACGCAAUUUAGAUAGAUUCAGGCCGCUAGGUCGCGUAAUACCCUACGUCCUGUGUGUCAUUUUCUUGUAAUGGAUUGAACUUGUUUGGAGGGGGUCUCUACCCACCCUUAUAUAUCAGGAGAGCAGGGUUACAGGUACAGGAAUACUAGUCGGAUUCGACUAGAGAGUCCUACUCUAACUGUUACGAGUAGUUUUCCGAGUCUUUGACUAGUUUCUAUCUUCCACGUAGACUACACCGUCCUGCACUGUAGUCUUUAUAUUUGCCACGUCUCGGUGCGCAACCCUGUAUACGGAUCUAUCCAAACCCCCUGUACAUCGUGGCAGGC